Macrostomum lignano is the source of this 119-nucleotide non-coding RNA. The record is from Rfam. NCBI's taxonomy places the organism in Eukaryota, Metazoa, Platyhelminthes, Macrostomidae.
GGCAACGGCCAUACCACGUUGCAAACACCGGUUCUCGUCUGAUCAUCGAAAUUAAGUAACUUUGGGUUUGGUUAGUACUUGGAUGGGUGACCGCCUGGGAAUACCAAAUGCAAGGACCA